This 263-nucleotide unclassified non-coding RNA is filed under the name plant metagenome. RNAcentral describes it as "partial contains small subunit ribosomal RNA, internal transcribed spacer 1, and 5.8S ribosomal RNA". The record is from RNAcentral.
UUUCCGUAGGUGAACCUGCGGAAGGAUCAUUAUUGUAUAACCGAGGUGCGAGGGCUGUCGCUGACCCGAAAGGUCGUGCACGCCCGAGUGCCCUCACACACACCCAUCCCACCCCUCUGUGCACCACCGCGGGUGUCCCUCUGUGGCUUGUGCGGCGGGGGGCUUACGUUUGCACACAAACAUUGUAUGAAGUGUAGAAUGUAUUUUUUGUUUUCGCGAUCACGCAAUCAAUACAACUUUCAACAACGGAUCUCUUGGCUCUC